Molecule: ribosomal RNA, 279 nt
Filed under: uncultured bacterium
Lineage: Bacteria
Description: partial 16S ribosomal RNA
Rfam family: Bacterial small subunit ribosomal RNA
Source: RNAcentral
UGCCAGCCGCCGCGGUAAUACGGAGGGGGUUAGCGUUGUUCGGAAUUACUGGGCGUAAAGCACACGUAGGCGGACUAUUAAGUCAGGGGUGAAAUCCCGGGGCUCAACCCCGGAAUUGCCUUUGAUACUGGUAGUCUAGAGUUCGAGAGAGGUGAGUGGAAUUCCGAGUGUAGAGGUGAAAUUCGUAGAUAUUAGGAAGAACACCAGUGGCGAAGGCGGCUUACUGGACCGGUACUGACGCUGAGGUACGAAAGCGUGGGGAGCGAACAGGAUUAGAUA